This is a non-coding RNA of Tursiops truncatus (common bottlenose dolphin), 94 nucleotides long. The record is from Rfam. NCBI's taxonomy places the organism in Eukaryota, Metazoa, Chordata, Mammalia, Artiodactyla, Delphinidae.
CCUCGUGAUGACUGCAUCUGUCUGUUGCAUGGAGCUUCACUGAAGGACUUCCUGAGCCUGAUGGAUUUACAAUGAUACUCAGGUGCCUGGGGAA